Carcharodon carcharias (great white shark) is the source of this 921-nucleotide long non-coding RNA. RefSeq lists it as uncharacterized. Lineage: Eukaryota; Metazoa; Chordata; Chondrichthyes; Lamniformes; Lamnidae. The record is from RefSeq and is a predicted model, not a curated record. The transcript has 2 exons.
AUAGAGCUGCUGGCAGGUCGUUUCGUAUUCCCUUGGCUGCGAAAGAGUGGAAACGCUGCUACAACAACAACAACAACAAACAAAACAUGCCGGGAGUGGGGUGGUCCGGAACAUUCCGUGGGUACGGAGAAAUUUCUGUCGCCAUCGCUUCGACUGGAGAAGGGCAAUGCCGGCAAUGGCGCCUGCUGCUAUCCCCACAUACAUUGCGUCUUGUGAAAGGCCUCCAUCCAAAUGAAUGGGCUGCUGUCUCCAUGGGGAAGCUUGAUUGACCCUGUGGAUAGAUAGUGCUUGCCUCCCACCUCACAGGAACAACUCCAGUUAUACAGGCUGUGUUAUAAAGAGACAGAGAGAGAGAAAAUAAAAUAGAAUUAACAGCAAGAGUGUUUGAAUGCACUGUAGCAGUUGGCCACCUCCUACACUGUGCCACUUUCCACUUUGAGCAUUUUUGUCGUGACUGGGAGUCACGGGCACAGCUGGCAACUUGCCUUUGUGAAGCACCUCCGGUGCAGAAAUACCCAGCACUGCCACUCCGCAGAGCUGUAAUCAGAGAAUAUUGAGCUUGGUCAAAGAGGUGGCGUGAAAGGAUAUCUGAGGGACGUGGCGAUAGGGUGCAGAAAUGAAUCCCAAGUGUUUGCAGUUAUGAGCCUGCUGCAUGGGUCACCUCAUUCAGCACUGGACCUAGAGAAUCAAGAAUUCCAGCGACACCUGGUGAGACACCAGAAAAGUGCAUUUAUCCAUUGAACCACCAGGGGGAGAUGAUGGCUGUUUAGCUGGAACAUUGCCUCUUACUGUCUCUUUUUGUCCAGCAAUCUUAAACUCAUAAAAAUAUCUGAAAUUGUUCCCUUUUAAACGGCUAGCAGGAUGCAGAAAUACUGUAAACAUUUAACUGUGCAAUGAAUUCAGAUUAAAAUAUUAUUCACA